Molecule: non-coding RNA, 114 nt
Organism: Biomphalaria pfeifferi
Lineage: Eukaryota; Metazoa; Mollusca; Gastropoda; Planorbidae
Source: the annotation of a GenBank genome assembly
CACAGGGCGGCGUGGCAGGAAUUCACAGGGCGGCGUGGCAGGAAUUCACAGGGCGGCGUGGCAGGAAUUCACAGGGCGGCGUGGCAGGAAUUCACAGGGCGCUUGGCAGGAAUU